This 310-nucleotide long non-coding RNA is filed under the name Brassica napus (rape). RNAcentral's name for it is "long non-coding RNA (BNAP_LNC007539)". The record is from RNAcentral. Lineage: Eukaryota; Viridiplantae; Streptophyta; Magnoliopsida; Brassicales; Brassicaceae.
AUUCAUGUGUUACAUCUCUUCCCGAAUGACAACCACUUCCUAAACCAUGAAGCCAGUCCAUCAAAAGUUCCCCAAUGCAGAACCAGAAGAAAUAACAAUCUUACUUUUUUAUGCGUAAUAUCUCUUGUUCCGAUGAAAAGUGCUUCUUCACUUUCUAUUUCGCCUUUAAUUUCUCAGUCAACUCUGUUAACUCCUGAUCUUUCUCAUACCCUUUUUUUAUUGGAUUCAUCAAAUCACAUUCAACCACUGAUAAGAAGACCAUAUGUAAUUCUGUUGCACCACCAACUCGAGACACUGCGUCUGCUGCCGC